This 502-nucleotide ribosomal RNA is filed under the name uncultured bacterium. RNAcentral describes it as "bacterial SSU rRNA". It matches the Rfam family "Bacterial small subunit ribosomal RNA", at positions 8 to 507 of the family's 1533-position model. The record is from RNAcentral.
AGAGUUUGAUCAUGGCUCAGAUUGAACGCUGGCGGCAUGCUUUACACAUGCAAGUCGAACGGCAGCGCGGGGCAACCCUGGCGGCGAGUGGCGAACGGGUGAGUAAUGCAUCGGAACGUAUCCUGUAAUGGGGGAUAACGUAGCGAAAGUUACGCUAAUACCGCAUACGCUCGAGAGAGGAAUGGGGGAUCGCAAGACCUCACGUUAUAGGAGCGGCCGAUGUCCGAUUAGCUAGUUGGUGGGGUAAAGGCCUACCAAGGCGACGAUCGGUAGCUGGUCUGAGAGGAUGAUCAGCCACACUGGGACUGAGACACGGCCCAGACUCCUACGGGAGGCAGCAGUGGGGAAUUUUGGACAAUGGGCGAAAGCCUGAUCCAGCCAUGCCGCGUGCGGGAAGAAGGCCUUCGGGUUGUAAACCGCUUUAGUCCGGGAAAAAGGGGUGCGAGGAUAAUACCCUCGUGCUUUGAUGGUACUGGAAGAAUAAGCACCGGCUAACUACGUG